AUGUGGUUUCAUAUGCUUUUGAUGGAUGCAUUUAUCGGCGGCACGGCGACGAGCUCGGUGACAUUGUUGUGGGCUAUGUCCGAGCUCAUCAAGAAUCCGACGGUGAUGAAGAAGGCACGGGCAGAGAUAAGAAGUUUGGUCGGCGGCAAACAGAGACUAGUGAAGGCGGCCGACCUCUCUAAACUCAAGUACAUCAAGAUGGUCGUCAAGGAGACGCUGCGACUGCAUGCGCCGGUGCCGCUGCUCGUUCCUAGGGAGACCAUGGACCAUGUGAAGGUCCUCGGCUAUGAUAUCCCCGCCAAGACAAGGAUCUUCGUGAACGUGUGGGCUAUGGGGAGGGACCCUGCCUCCUGGGACAAACCAGAGGAGUUUUACCCGGAGAGAUUUGACGGAGUUGACACUGAUUUUUAUGGGUCACACUAUGAGCUCCUUCCGUUUGGCGCCGGGCGGCGGAUCUGCCCUGCUAUCCCCAUGGGAGCCACCAUGGUGGAGUUCACGCUUGCUAGCUUGCUGCAUUCGUUUGACUGGGGGUUGCCCAAAGGCAUGAAUAAAGAAGACGUGAGCAUGGAAGGGACUGGCAGACAACUGUUGUGUAGGAAGACUCCUCUGUAUCUUGUUCCAUCAUUUUAUACUGGCUAA
Molecule: ribosomal RNA, 639 nt
Filed under: Triticum aestivum (bread wheat)
Lineage: Eukaryota; Viridiplantae; Streptophyta; Magnoliopsida; Poales; Poaceae
Description: partial small subunit ribosomal RNA
Source: RNAcentral